UAGGGAAUCUUCCGCAAUGGACGAAAGUCUGACGGAGCAACGCCGCGUGAGUGAAGAAGGAUUUCGGUUCGUAAAACUCUGUUGUUAGGGAAGAAAAAAUGUAUAGUAACUAUAUACAAAAGAGACGGUACCUAACCAGAAAGCCACGGCUAACUACGUGCCAGCAGCCGCGGUAAUACGUAGGUGGCAAGCGUUGUCCGGAAUUAUUGGGCGUAAAGCGCGCGCAGGUGGUUUAGAAAGUCUGAUGUGAAAGCCCACGGCUCAACCGUGGAGGGUCAUUGGAAACUAAUAAACUUGAGUGCAGGAGAGAAAAGUGGAAUUCCUAGUGUAGCGGUGAAAUGCGUAGAGAUUAGGAGGAACACCGGUGGCGAAAGCGACUUUUUGGCCUGCAACUGACACUGAGGCGCGAAAGCGUGGGGAGCAAACAGG
This 429-nucleotide ribosomal RNA is filed under the name Verrucomicrobiota bacterium. RNAcentral's name for it is "Verrucomicrobia bacterium partial 16S ribosomal RNA". It matches the Rfam family "Bacterial small subunit ribosomal RNA", at positions 355 to 776 of the family's 1533-position model. The record is from RNAcentral. Lineage: Bacteria; Pseudomonadati; Verrucomicrobiota.